CCGCCGGCUCCCCAGCGAGUCUGAGGUGCAGGGGGAGCCCCUGGGCCGUGGUGGCUGGUGUCAGCGGGCACAGCUCAGAAGGCCCUCCUUUCCCUUUUAUGGGUGCCUCGUGUGAAUGUGAGAAGAGGAUCAUAUAUUUGAAAAAGUAAAUCCUGAGAUGGAAAAGCUGGGAUAUGAGUGCAAGUGCCUUGGAGGAGGGAAAAUUGAUCAUAAUAGCAAAGACAAGAAAAUUAGGGUAUUUGGUCUCUCUACAGGCUAUGGAAAAGCAGAUCAUUCGGUGACUGUAGAGAUACUGAAAAAAGUGUAUACAGAUUAUGAAAUUACAUGGUCAGAUGACAAGAAAUAAAUCAGCUACUUAUUAACACAACAGGCAGUUCAAAACUGGUAACUGAGUUGUACUUUGUUAAAUUGAAUGUGUCUUCUAUAUAUAUUACCAUAAA
Long non-coding RNA from Athene cunicularia (burrowing owl), 440 nucleotides. RefSeq lists it as uncharacterized. The record is from RefSeq and is a predicted model, not a curated record. The transcript has 3 exons. Lineage: Eukaryota; Metazoa; Chordata; Aves; Strigiformes; Strigidae.